RNAcentral lists this unclassified non-coding RNA (690 nucleotides) under Hevea brasiliensis (rubber tree). The record is from RNAcentral. Lineage: Eukaryota; Viridiplantae; Streptophyta; Magnoliopsida; Malpighiales; Euphorbiaceae.
GAAGAGUACGGUCUCCAAUCUUUUCAAAUCCCAUGGAUUUCCCGUCGUUGACGCCGAUCUAGUCGCUCGGGUAUGCCCUUCUCUUCUCAUUUGCAUCUCCAAAUAGAGAACUUCUCUAAAGAGUUUUUUUUCCCAUAUUCGAUUUAGCGAAUUAACCUGACUCAGGGGGAAUUAAGAAUGCGAUUGUUUUAAUUUGAGCUUGGCCGGUUGAUUUUUUCAUCAUGUCUUGAUUGAUGCUUGUUUCUCUUUUAAAUUGCUAGGAUUGGAUUGGAAGGCAUUUCAUUGUUCCAGUGAUAGUGCUGAAUGUUUGAUAUAUUCAGCAAUUUGUUUUCACUGAAUAUUUCAAAGGUUUUAUUCAAUUAAACUGAAUUAGAGUAGAUUGUUACUAUUUUCAAUUAGCCAUAAUAAUUUUAAGUGGUAUUUGAUCAUUUAAAUGAUAGGUUAUUAAAAAUCAAGACCAGGCUAUGUCACUAGUUGCUGAAAUUUUUACAAGUUUAUGCCUAUUAUCACGGCAUGGUAACAUCAUCGUUGAAUUUGCCUUAUUGAUUCAUAUUUGAUUUUCCACUAGAAGUUUUGUAUGCCUUGUCAUUUUUCUUGAACUUCUCUUUAUAGUAUUCUGGUACACUCUGCAGUAUGUUCUAAAGAAAGACACUGGUGGCUAUAAUGAGGUUGUUGCAGCAUUUGGAGAGG